UUUUGUACGAAUUACGUACGCAUUAUUUUUAGUUUACGUAUGAAUUAUUUUGGUUUUCGUAAAAAUUAUUUUAGCCUCAACUCUGAUUGUAUGAAUUGUUUUUGGGUUUCGUACGAAUUAUUUUUUAUUUAUAUACAAUUUUUUUUUGUUUACGUGUGAAUUUUUUUGCUUACUAGACCAUACGUAAUCGGGUUUGCAUCUGA
Molecule: long non-coding RNA, 203 nt
Filed under: Salvia miltiorrhiza (redroot sage)
Lineage: Eukaryota; Viridiplantae; Streptophyta; Magnoliopsida; Lamiales; Lamiaceae
Description: long non-coding RNA (SMIL_LNC008698)
Source: RNAcentral